CCCUUAAUCAUUUCAAUUUUUUAUUAAAGGACGGAACUCAGAAGGCACAUUUCAAAUGUCAAUAUUUCAUCAACUUUACAUAAAAAGUUUGAAAAUUAGAUUUAAACCCUUCGACUGUUAGACAGUUGACAGUAUAAAUCUGAAUCGACAACAAAAUUACCAUUGUAAAUAAAUAAAAAAGUUUGUUUAACCUUACAUAGUUACAACUUUAGAAAAUUAAUAUGGGAGAAUUUUAUCUGUAAUAAAAAACAAAAAUUAAAUAACUAAAAUAAUGUCUUUACUUGAUUAACAGCAACAGCUUAAAAGGAAACCUACUAAUUUCCUUGGUGUGACUCUUCACAUGUGCGAAGGAUGGGUGGAAGAGGGGCAAUUAUAUCCAUCAUCUGUAGAUGAAAAAUAAAAUAAGCAUUACAUGUUAAUAACUAUGUUAUAAAGUAUAAACUAUUCAUUACUUCAAAUACCAUUAGGAUGAAGAAUCAUAUCUUAUGUAUGAUUGUUUUAAGUUUUAACCAAACAAAA
Molecule: long non-coding RNA, 519 nt
Filed under: Zostera marina
Lineage: Eukaryota; Viridiplantae; Streptophyta; Magnoliopsida; Alismatales; Zosteraceae
Description: long non-coding RNA (ZMAR_LNC003825)
Source: RNAcentral